Molecule: unclassified non-coding RNA, 343 nt
Filed under: soil metagenome
Description: partial contains 5.8S ribosomal RNA, internal transcribed spacer 2, and large subunit ribosomal RNA
Rfam family: 5.8S ribosomal RNA (bases 1-120)
Source: RNAcentral
GAUGAAGAACGUAGCAAAAUGCGAUAAGUAAUGUGAAUUGCAGAAUUCAGUGAAUCAUCGAAUCUUUGAACGCACAUUGCGCCCGCCAGCAUUCUGGCGGGCAUGCCUGUUCGAGCGUCAUUUCAACCCUCGACCUCCCUUUGGGGAAGUCGGCGUUGGGGACCGGCAGCACACCGCCGGCCCUGAAAUGGAGUGGCGGCCCGUCCGCGGCGACCUCUGCGUAGUAAACCAACUCGCACCGGAACCCCGACGUGGCCACGCCGUAAAACACCCAACUUCUGAACGUUGACCUCGAAUCAGGUAGGACUACCCGCUGAACUUAAGCAUAUCAAUAAGCGGAGGA